This 121-nucleotide transfer RNA is filed under the name Streptomyces bambusae. RNAcentral's name for it is "tRNA-OTHER". It matches the Rfam family "tRNA". From Rfam's summary of the family: Transfer RNA (tRNA) molecules are approximately 80 nucleotides in length. The record is from RNAcentral. Lineage: Bacteria; Bacillati; Actinomycetota; Actinomycetes; Kitasatosporales; Streptomycetaceae.
GGAGUCGUGGCAGAGUGGCCCAUUGCGAUCGGCGUAGGGAAGGCCCUUCUCACGUCGACUGACCGGGUACUGGGCCGCCCUGCCUCCCCCGGUCCGCGGGUUCGAAUCCCGCCGACUCUCA